Molecule: transfer RNA, 73 nt
Filed under: Planctomycetaceae bacterium
Lineage: Bacteria; Pseudomonadati; Planctomycetota; Planctomycetia; Planctomycetales; Planctomycetaceae
Description: tRNA-Phe
Rfam family: tRNA
About the family: Transfer RNA (tRNA) molecules are approximately 80 nucleotides in length. Their secondary structure includes four short double-helical elements and three loops (D, anti-codon, and T loops).
Source: RNAcentral
GGGUAGAUAGCUCAGUUGGUAGAGCACAGGACUGAAAAUCCUGGUGUCGGGGGUUCGAUUCCCCCUCUGCCCA